This 738-nucleotide ribosomal RNA is filed under the name uncultured bacterium. RNAcentral describes it as "bacterial SSU rRNA". It matches the Rfam family "Bacterial small subunit ribosomal RNA", at positions 8 to 791 of the family's 1533-position model. The record is from RNAcentral.
AGAGUUUGAUCCUGGCUCAGAACGAACGCUGGCGGCAUGCCUCAUACAUGCAAGUCGAACGAGGUCUUCGGACCUAGUGGCGCACGGGUGAGUAACAUGUGGGAAUCUACCUGAAGGUUCGGAAUAACUGCGGGAAACUGUAGCUAAUACCGGAUGUGUCUGCAAAGAGAAAGAUUUAUCGCCUUCAGAUGAGCCCGCACUAGAUUAGCUAGUUGGUGAGGUAAUUGCUCCACCAAGGCUACGAUCUAUAGCUGAUUUGAGAGGAUGAUCAGCCACACUGGGACUGAGACACGGCCCAGACUCCUACGGGAGGCAGCAGUAGGGAAUAUUGGACAAUGGGGGAAACCCUGAUCCAGCAAUGCCGCGUGAGUGAAGAAGGCCUUCGGGUUGUAAAGCUCUUUCAUCAAUGAUGAUAAUGACAUUAGUUGAAGAAGAAGCCCCGGCUAACUUCGUGCCAGCAGCCGCGGUAAUACGAAGGGGGCUAGCGUUGUUCGGAAUCACUGGGCGUAAAGCGUAUGUAGGCGGAUCAAAAAGUUAGAUGUGAAAUCCCUGGGCUCAACCCAGGAACUGCAUUUAAAACUAGUGAUCUAGAAUUUGGUAGGGGUUAGUAGAAUUUCCAGUGUAGAGGUGAAAUUCGUAGAUAUUGGAAAGAAUACCAGUGGCGAAGGCGACUAACUGGGCCAUUUUUGACGCUGAGAUACGAAAGCGUGGGUAGCAAACAGGAUUAGAUACCCUGGU